AGAGUUUGAUCCUGGCGUCAGGAUGAACGCUGGCGGCGUGCUUAACACAUGCAAGUCGAACGAAGCACUUAGGAAAGAUUCUUCGGAUGAAAGCCUUUGUGACUGAGUGGCGGACGGGUGAGUAACGCGUGGGUAACCUACCUCAUACAGGGGGAUAACAGUUGGAAACGACCGCUAAUACCGCAUAACCCGCUAGUAUCGCAUGAUACAGACGGAAAAGAUUUAUCGGUAUGAGAUGGACCCGCGUCUGAUUAGCCAGUUGGCAGGGUAACGGCCUACCAAAGCAACGAUCAGUAGCCGGCCUGAGAGGGUGAACGGCCACAUUGGGACUGAGACACGGCCCAAACUCCUACGGGAGGCAGCAGUGGGGAAUAUUGCACAAUGGGGGGAAACCCUGAUGCAGCGACGCCGCGUGAGUGAGGAAGUAUUUCGGUAUGUAAAGCUCUAUCAGCAGGGAAGAAAAUGACGGUACCUGACUAAGAAGCCCCGGCUAACUACGUG
RNAcentral lists this ribosomal RNA (501 nucleotides) under uncultured Lachnospiraceae bacterium. Its description in RNAcentral is "bacterial SSU rRNA". It matches the Rfam family "Bacterial small subunit ribosomal RNA", at positions 8 to 507 of the family's 1533-position model. Lineage: Bacteria; Bacillati; Bacillota; Clostridia; Lachnospirales; Lachnospiraceae. The record is from RNAcentral.